Cervus elaphus (red deer) is the source of this 358-nucleotide long non-coding RNA. RefSeq lists it as uncharacterized. Lineage: Eukaryota; Metazoa; Chordata; Mammalia; Artiodactyla; Cervidae. The record is from RefSeq and is a predicted model, not a curated record. The transcript has 3 exons.
GGGAGGCGAGUCUGGUUGUGCGAGGCUGCGGCUCAGGCGACGAUUGCUCUGAAUACAAAAGAGCCUUUCUCACGCCCUUGCGCCCUUCCCCGCCUGGGGCGCCCAGAUGGACGGCACUGGCUCCUUGAACACUAGAGCCGACAGCUGUCGGGGCCACAACACCAUUUCUGUGGUUCUUGCAGAGAAGCCUGCUUCCAAGUCUUUACAGGAAAGUUUAAUGAUCAGUAUAACGAUAACUUUGGUCCCCUCCUCCAAUUUGAGAGAAAAAACAAAUUGAGGGAUGAAGGCUUUUGAAGCCCGGCCGCACUGUGAGGCAGGUUGGAUCUUAGUUCCCCAACCAGCCAUUGCUGGACUGCAA